UGUCCAGACUAUUGAGGAUAUAGUUGCGAAAGUAAGGUUCGGCCCAAGACCCGAUAAAAUUAAUAACACUGCUAGUAUUCUGAUUAGUAUGGUUAUUGCUGGGCUAGAUUGUCAGCCCUGUACCAGAACUUACCUCAUCGAUGGUCUUUUUUUGGGUAAUUAGAGAACUUAUAUAAGUUGAAGAUAGUAUAGUACUAAUGUCCAAACGACAUUUGUGUCACUUGUAGAAAUUUUAAUAUAUGACGGGUCCAAAAAGAGAGAAAAGAAACAGUCGUGAAGUUGCUCUAAGGUGAAGAUGUAGACCCAUCUGGGGGGAACCACAGCACCAUUUUGUCACGAUAUUAAUGCCAAAGAGAAAGGACAAUAGAGAAGAAGUUUCAUUGGCACACGUGCAUGAUUGGCUCGAGAGAUCAAAUGUUUUACUCGGAACAAUGAUCGACAAGUCUGUCCUACACAAGUCAGGUCUGUACCGAUCCACUGAACGUUUCACUAGGUGAUGGGAAUUAUUUAUCUAUAUAUCUAAAGGUGGGUCACAACAGAUUUCUCAACGUUUUUUAUUUUGCUUUUAACUCGCUGGCUGAACUUGCCGUUAAAGUUAGGUCUAGUGGGUUACUUCGAAAUCCCACUAAUCUCGUCUUUUUAGGUUGAUUUCACAUUCUCUUCAAUUAUUGUUGUUGGUUUUUCAGUACAAUAUAAAAGCAUUAGCUUCUACC
Long non-coding RNA from Syzygium oleosum, 713 nucleotides. RefSeq lists it as uncharacterized. The record is from RefSeq and is a predicted model, not a curated record. The transcript is spliced from 2 exons. Lineage: Eukaryota; Viridiplantae; Streptophyta; Magnoliopsida; Myrtales; Myrtaceae.